GAUGAGGUAGCUGGGUGGUUAAGGUAAUGUUCUACUAAUCCAUUGUGAUCUGCACGCAUGGGUUCAAAUCCCAUCCUUAUUA
This 82-nucleotide transfer RNA is filed under the name Perca fluviatilis (European perch). It matches the Rfam family "tRNA". Rfam says of the family: Transfer RNA (tRNA) molecules are approximately 80 nucleotides in length. Their secondary structure includes four short double-helical elements and three loops (D, anti-codon, and T loops). Further hydrogen bonds mediate the characteristic L-shaped molecular structure. tRNAs have two regions of fundamental functional importance: the anti-codon, which is responsible for specific mRNA codon recognition, and the 3' end, to which the tRNAs corresponding amino acid is attached (by aminoacyl-tRNA synthetases). tRNAs cope with the degeneracy of the genetic code in two manners: having more than one tRNA (with a specific anti-codon) for a particular amino acid; and 'wobble' base-pairing, i.e. permitting non-standard base-pairing at the 3rd anti-codon position. The record is from Rfam by way of RNAcentral. Lineage: Eukaryota; Metazoa; Chordata; Actinopteri; Perciformes; Percidae.